UUAGACCCCGUUCACACUAGGACAUUUUUAUCGAUUUAAACUAGACCGGUUCACUUUAGAUCGGUUAAAGGGCUAAUGUGAACGCUUUGAAUCGAUCUUCAAUCGGUCUUAACUAAAACACCAAAAGAGGUAGUUUAGUUUGAAUCGAUCUAAAGUAAACCGAUCUUACUUUAAAUGUGAACGCAGAGAUCGGUUUAAACUAGUACAAUUAAAUCGAAAAUAACGUAUGCGCAUGUAAAGCGGCAAAACUAUCUCAGAGGUUCGUUGUUAAACCCAUAUUUCUCUGUUAAAAGACCAUUAAAACAAACUGAAAACAUGUUGUACUCGCCGUAGCAUAGAUUUGCGAAAUCUGUGUCUUCUUUUCUUAUGUUGAUUUAUUUUCUUUGCAGGAACCGCAGAAUUUCCGGCGUCGUUUUGUAACUUCGUUGCUCCCAAUAUUUUGUUUUCAGAAUUAAAGAAAACUGCAAUAACACCAGUAUCAAAUUUUUAACUUGUGAUUCAAGAGAAACAAUAACUUUAUCCAAUUUUUUUUUCAAGUGUGUGUAUCAGUGUAUUAACACAUGAAUUUGACAAAUCAGUUCUAUUUAUACACAAUGUUUACAGUUUUACGGGUAAAAAGGAUAGAUCGAUUGCGUUUUUUAAUUGUAGUGUGAACGCAGUGGUUCAGAUUAGACCGAUAGAGAUCAUUAUGAUUAAAGAUAAUGUGGACGCUAACUGGUUUUAUUUAGAUCGAUUCAAAUUAGAUCGAUAAAAAAAAAUGCCAGUUUGAACGGGGUCAUAGACU
RNAcentral lists this long non-coding RNA (784 nucleotides) under Mytilus galloprovincialis (Mediterranean mussel). Lineage: Eukaryota; Metazoa; Mollusca; Bivalvia; Mytilida; Mytilidae. The record is from RNAcentral.